GAUGAACGCUGGCGGCGUGCCUAAUACAUGCAAGUCGAGCGAACGGACGAGAAGCUUGCUUCUCUGAUGUUAGCGGCGGACGGGUGAGUAACACGUGGAUAACCUACCUAUAAGACUGGGAUAACUUCGGGAAACCGGAGCUAAUACCGGAUAAUAUUUUGAACCGCAUGGUUCAAAAGUGAAAGACGGUCUUGCUGUCACUUAUAGAUGGAUCCGCGCUGCAUUAGCUAGUUGGUAAGGUAACGGCUUACCAAGGCAACGAUGCAUAGCCGACCUGAGAGGGUGAUCGGCCACACUGGAACUGAGACACGGUCCAGACUCCUACGGGAGGCAGCAGUAGGGAAUCUUCCGCAAUGGGCGAAAGCCUGACGGAGCAACGCCGCGUGAGUGAUGAAGGUCUUCGGAUCGUAAAACUCUGUUAUUAGGGAAGAACAUAUGUGUAAGUAACUGUGCACAUCUUGACGGUACCUAAUCAGAAAGCCACGGCUAACUACGUGCCAGCAGCCGCGGUAAUACGUAGGUGGCAAGCGUUAUCCGGAAUUAUUGGGCGUAAAGCGCGCGUAGGCGGUUUUUUAAGUCUGAUGUGAAAGCCCACGGCUCAACCGUGGAGGGUCAUUGGAAACUGGAAAACUUGAGUGCAGAAGAGGAAAGUGGAAUUCCAUGUGUAGCGGUGAAAUGCGCAGAGAUAUGGAGGAACACCAGUGGCGAAGGCGACUUUCUGGUCUGUAACUGACGCUGAUGUGCGAAAGCGUGGGGAUCAAACAGGAUUAGAUACCCUGGUAGUCCACGCCGUAAACGAUGAGUGCUAAGUGUUAGGGGGUUUCCGCCCCUUAGUGCUGCAGCUAACGCAUUAAGCACUCCGCCUGGGGAGUACGACCGCAAGGUUGAAACUCAAAGGAAUUGACGGGGACCCGCACAAGCGGUGGAGCAUGUGGUUUAAUUCGAAGCAACGCGAAGAACCUUACCAAAUCUUGACAUCCUUUGACAACUCUAGAGAUAGAGCCUUCCCCUUCGGGGGACAAAGUGACAGGUGGUGCAUGGUUGUCGUCAGCUCGUGUCGUGAGAUGUUGGGUUAAGUCCCGCAACGAGCGCAACCCUUAAGCUUAGUUGCCAUCAUUAAGUUGGGCACUCUAAGUUGACUGCCGGUGACAAACCGGAGGAAGGUGGGGAUGACGUCAAAUCAUCAUGCCCCUUAUGAUUUGGGCUACACACGUGCUACAAUGGACAAUACAAAGGGCAGCGAAACCGCGAGGUCAAGCAAAUCCCAUAAAGUUGUUCUCAGUUCGGAUUGUAGUCUGCAACUCGACUACAUGAAGCUGGAAUCGCUAGUAAUCGUAGAUCAGCAUGCUACGGUGAAUAGCGUUCCCGGGUCU
Molecule: ribosomal RNA, 1373 nt
Filed under: uncultured bacterium
Lineage: Bacteria
Description: bacterial SSU rRNA
Rfam family: Bacterial small subunit ribosomal RNA
Source: RNAcentral